GAUGAACGCUGUCGGCGUGCCUAAUACAUGCCAGUCGAGCGAACAGACGAGGAGCUUGCUCCUCUGACGUUAGCGGCGGACGGGUGAGUAACACGUGGAUAACCUACCUAUAAGACUGGGAUAACUUCGGGAAACCGGAGCUAAUACCGGAUAAUAUAUUGAACCGCAUGGUUCAAUAGUGAAAGACGGUUUUGCUGUCACUUAUAGAUGGAUCCGCGCCGCAUUAGCUAGUUGGUAAGGUAACGGCUUACCAAGGCAACGAUGCGUAGCCGACCUGAGAGGGUGAUCGGCCACACUGGAACUGAGACACGGUCCAGACUCCUACGGGAGGCAGCAGUAGGGAAUCUUCCGCAAUGGGCGAAAGCCUGACGGAGCAACGCCGCGUGAGUGAUGAAGGUCUUCGGAUCGUAAAACUCUGUUAUUAGGGAAGAACAAAUGUGUAAGUAACUAUGCACGUCUUGACGGUACCUAAUCAGAAAGCCACGGCUAACUACGUG
This 497-nucleotide ribosomal RNA is filed under the name uncultured bacterium. RNAcentral's name for it is "partial 16S ribosomal RNA". It matches the Rfam family "Bacterial small subunit ribosomal RNA", at positions 28 to 507 of the family's 1533-position model. The record is from RNAcentral.